RNAcentral lists this ribosomal RNA (494 nucleotides) under uncultured bacterium. RNAcentral's name for it is "partial 16S ribosomal RNA". It matches the Rfam family "Bacterial small subunit ribosomal RNA", at positions 28 to 507 of the family's 1533-position model. The record is from RNAcentral.
GACGAACGCUGGCGGCGUGCUUAACACAUGCAAGUCGUACGGUGAAGCGCCUUCCUUUUUGGUGGGUGUGGAUGAGUGGCGAACGGGUGAGUAACACGUGAGUAACCUGCCCCCUUCUUCUGGAUAACCGCAUGAAAGUGUGGCUAAUACGGGAUAUUCUGGGUCUGUCGCAUGAUGGGUCUGGGAAAGAUAUUGUUUCGGUGGGGGAUGGGCUCGCGGCCUAUCAGCUUGUUGGUGGGGUGAUGGCCUACCAAGGCGGUGACGGGUAGCCGGCCUGAGGGGGUGGACGGUCACACUGGGACUGAGGCCCGGCCCAGACUCAUACGGGGGGCAGCAGUGGGGAAUAUUGCGCAAUGGGCGCAAGCCUGAUGCGGCGACGCCGCGUGAGGGAUGAAGGCGUUCGGGUUGUGAACCUCUUUCGCCAGUAAAGCAGGCCUGCCUCGUUUGUGGGUGGGUUGACGGUAGCUGGAUAAGAAGCGCCGGCUAACUACGUG